AUCAUAAGAACAACAUUUACAAUUAUGAUGAUCUUUUUAAAAAUAACUUAUUUUGUACUUUGUUUUAUAUUUCUUGAUAAAUAACCGAUUCAGUUACGGAAUGAAUGGACAAUAAAAGGUUCAAAUUUCCGAAAAUAAACAAACAAUCAAUUGAUUAUGUUAUUCUGCAUUUGAACGUUGUCCUUGGUUAGUUUUUAUAAUGAUAAAAGUAGUAAUUAUUAAGUUAUUUUCCUGUACAAAGCCAGUUAUUAUUUUUGUUCUUUUAGCUCUUAUUACCAUUAAUUAAUAAUAAAUUUUACCAUUAAGUUAUUUAUUUUCAUGGCAAUAUUUUUUUUUAUCUGUAUUAACGAGAUUUUUAGCCCUGGGCUAGUUCAUCUCGGGACCCACGCUUUACUUCCCUUCCGAAGGAAGAAUUCACUAUUUUGUGAGUUUGUCGGGAGUGGGAUUCGAUCCCAGGUCCGCGGCGUGAUAGUCAAGUGUUCUAACCAUAAAACCAGGUCCGCUUCAAAUCGAAUUUAUUGUAUAUUUAAACAUUGUAAUCAGUGUAGCAGGGGUCGGGAAUAUUUGAUCUUUUCUUGUUAUUUUCUUUUGACCGGAUAUGGUGCUUAAAUCGGCUAUACAUGAGAACUUUCUAGAACGCCAUACCAGUUCAUACAUAGGGUCACAUAUUUGACAAGAAAUGAGCUGAGGAGGAGCAAACAUCUGUUUGACAAUAAUGAAAUCUGACCUACACAGUAAAACCGCUCAGCACUAAAAUAUGUAAGACCUACUCAUAAGUGCAUAAUUUCCAGACCACACAAAAAUGUGUAGCAGUUACACAUUCUAAAAAAAUAGCUCGUACUCUCUUCUAGAUGCGAAAUUUCGAUUUUUUGUUGUUUACCAAGGUCACUAGUAAACCUAGCUAGAUAGCCGUACAACUUUUUUUUUGCGAAUUUCACGAUUUUGUGGACGUAGGAGCUGAUUUUGUGAAUGUGCAAGGGUUACACAUUUUUGGUGCAGUCUGGAAAUUAUGCACUUUAGUGCUGAUCGGUUUUAGGGUGUAUAGUCAAACAAAAUGUUUGCGCAUUGAUUUGUAUUUUGAGAUCAUAUAUUUGUCAUGUGAACUAACAACAUAAUUGUUAUCAUUUUCUAAUAAAUCGACCUGUCAAUCAAGAGUGCUCAUAACAGAAGCAACUAGCCUUUUUGACAAAACAUAUUUUGGUUGCUUAUAGACAGUCAAGCAAACGUUUAAAACCGUUAAGUCUUUGUAGGUGAGGGUUCUCUUCAACCCAACCUGUGCCUACGCGAGCAAUGCGUAUAGCAUCGUAAAUAUACAUCAAUGCUUUCGUCACAACCGGCGAUAUGAUUUGUGCGUAUGCAAUUGUUAAAGGCAAAAUAAUGAUUGGUUAUUGGUUUUCAUUGACCACUUACUACUUUCUGUUUAUUGCAAACUAUGUCGGCCUUCAUGAAGGUCACUUUAAUAAUAUAAAACAUCGCUGCACAUUUACCUUUUACAGUUAGUAUCACUAUCGACUUCGAACUGAUUAAGAGCUUCUGUGAUCAAGAGCACUAACAUGAAGAACUUACUAUUUUUUGCUGUACUACUUACGGUAUCAGUAGUAGUGUUUAGUGAGGAUUCUAGUGCGAACAGUGAAUCCAAAGUAUUACACUCUGAAACUUCAUCCCGUGAUGUGAGGCAUAUCGGCGCAAGUGGAUACCUUUAUGGAUAUAUGCCUCAUUAUACUGUGGGAUAUUAUCCACCACAACCUUACCACGUUCAACCGUUAGGAGUCGUACCCGUAUCUAUACCUGUCUAUGGAAGCGGAAAACGUCAUAAAUCAAAAAAACAGCCGUAUGGAUUCGUCCCCCAUUACCCAUUAUUAUACUAGGAAGACUCAUCGUCAUGAUAGUGACAUUUGCAUCAAAUGAUUGUAUAGUUUGACACAUAAAUAGUGAUGAAAAUAAAUCAUA
Molecule: long non-coding RNA, 1950 nt
Organism: Aedes albopictus (Asian tiger mosquito)
Lineage: Eukaryota; Metazoa; Arthropoda; Insecta; Diptera; Culicidae
Exons: 2
Source: RefSeq, a predicted model, not a curated record